This 467-nucleotide ribosomal RNA is filed under the name uncultured bacterium. RNAcentral's name for it is "bacterial SSU rRNA". It matches the Rfam family "Bacterial small subunit ribosomal RNA", at positions 33 to 507 of the family's 1533-position model. The record is from RNAcentral.
ACGCUGGCGGCGUGCUUAACACAUGCAAGUCGAGCGGAAAGGCUCCUUCGGGGGUACUCGAGCGGCGAACGGGUGAGUAACACGUGAGUAGUCUGCCCUUGGCUUUGGGAUAACUACCGGAAACGGUGGCUAAUACCGGAUACGACCACUCCUUGCAUGAGGUGGUGGUGUAAAGUUUUUCGGCCAGGGAUGUGCUCGCGGCCUAUCAGCUUGUUGGUGGGGUAAUGGCCUACCAAGGCUUCGACGGUAGCCGGCCUGAGAGGGUGACCGGCCACACUGGGACUGAGACACGGCCCAGACUCCUACGGGAGGCAGCAGUGGGGAAUAUUGGACAAUGGGCGGAAGCCUGAUCCAGCAACGCCGCGUGAGGGAUGACGGCCUUCGGGUUGUAAACCUCUUUCAGUACCGACGAAGCGCCGAUGAUGGUGGUGACGGUAGGUACAGAAGAAGCACCGGCCAACUACGUG